GCAAACUUGGUCAUUUAGAGGAAGUAAAAGUCGUAACAAGGUUUCCGUAGGUGAACCUGCGGAAGGAUCAUUACCGAGUGCGGGCCCUGUCUGGGCCCAACCUCCCGCCCGUGUCUCUUGAAUACCCUGUUGCUUUGGCGGGCCCACCGGGCCACCGGUCGCCGGAGGGCGCCCCUGCCCUCGGGCCUGCGCCCGCCAGAGCGCUCCCUGAACGCGAAUGAAGAUGGGCGGUCUGAGUGUGGGAUGACAAUGAAUCAAAACUUUCAACAAUGGAUCUCUUGGUUCCGGCAUCGAUGAAGAACGCAGC
This 307-nucleotide unclassified non-coding RNA is filed under the name uncultured fungus. RNAcentral's name for it is "partial contains small subunit ribosomal RNA, internal transcribed spacer 1, and 5.8S ribosomal RNA". The stretch from base 1 to 73 matches the Rfam family "Eukaryotic small subunit ribosomal RNA", at positions 1759 to 1831 of the family's 1831-position model. The record is from RNAcentral. Lineage: Eukaryota; Fungi.